UACGGGAGGCAGCAGUGGGGAAUAUUGCACAAUGGGCGCAAGCCUGAUGCAGCCAUGCCGCGUGUAUGAAGAAGGCCUUCGGGUUGUAAAGUACUUUCAGUCGUGAGGAAGGUGUUAAGGUUAAUAACCUUAGCAAUUGACGUUAGCGACAGAAGAAGCACCGGCUAACUCCGUGCCAGCAGCCGCGGUAAUACGGAGGGUGCGAGCGUUAAUCGGAAUUACUGGGCGUAAAGGGCACGCAGGCGGUUAAUUAAGUUGGAUGUGAAAUCCCCGGGCUUAACCUGGGAAUGGCAUUCAAGACUGGUUAGCUAGAGUCUUGUAGAGAGGGGUAGAAUUCCAUGUGUAGCGGUGAAAUGCGUAGAGAUGUGGAGGAAUACCGGUGGCGAAGGCGGCCCCUGGGACAAAGACUGACGCUCAUGUGCGAAAGCGUGGGGAGCAAACAGGAUUAGAUACC
RNAcentral lists this ribosomal RNA (454 nucleotides) under uncultured bacterium. RNAcentral describes it as "bacterial SSU rRNA". It matches the Rfam family "Bacterial small subunit ribosomal RNA", at positions 340 to 786 of the family's 1533-position model. The record is from RNAcentral.